UGGAGGUGUUAAAUCUACAAGCAAGACGUACCUUAUACAUCGAACUGAACUAGUGAUGGGAACUUCAAAAGUAAUUGAUGACUCUUCUGCAUCUGUUUCUCUGGCCCAGCUUACAAAGACUGCCAAUCUUGCUGAAGCCAAUGCUUCUGAAGAAGCUAAAAUUAAAGCCAUGAUGUCGCAAACUGGCCGUGCAUACGACCCCAUCAAUUACAUGAAGAAGCCUCUAGGUCCACUAUCUUCAUCUUAUACCUGUUUCCGCUGUGGUCAACCUGGCCACUUUAUUAAGAAUUGCCCAACAAAUGGGCAUAAAAACUUCGAAUCUGGUCCUAGGAUUAAAAAGAGCACUGGAAUUCCCAGAAGUUUCAUGAUGGAAGUGAAAGAUCCUAACAUGAAAGGUGCAAUGCUCACCAACACUGGAACAUACGCAAUACCAACUAUUGAUGCAGAAGCAUAUGCAAUUGGGAAGAAAGAAAAGCCACCUUUCUUACCAGAGGAGCCCUCUCCAUCUUCUGAAGAGGACGACCCUAUCCCAGAUGAGUUGCUGUGUCUCAUCUGCAAAGACAUCAUGACUGAUGCCGCUGUCAUUCCCUGCUGUGGAAACAGCUACUGUGAUGAGUGUGUAAGAACAGCACUCUUGGAAUCAGAGGACCAUACAUGCCCAACAUGUCAUAAAAAUGAUGUCUCUCCUGAUGCUUUAAUUGCCAAUAUAUUCUUGCGACAGGCUGUUAAUAACUUCAAAAAUGAAACUGGAUAUACAAAAAGACUACGGAAACAGUUGCCCCCAACACCACCCCCAAUACCGCCUCCGAGACCACUCAUUCAGCGGAAUCUACAACCUCUGACGAGAUCUCCAAUAUCAAGACAACAAGAUCCUCCGAUGAUUCCAGUGACAUCUUCAUCAGGCCACCCGGCUCCCUCUAUAUCUUCAUUAACUUCUAAUCAGUCUUCCUUAGCCCCUGCUGUGCCUGAAAAUUCAUCUACCCCAGAGCCUGUACCUGAUGUAACUGUAAAGGUCUCCGUAUCAGUCCACUCAGAAAAAUCAGAUGGGCCUUUCCAGGAUUCCGAUCAUAAAAUAUUGCCAGCUGCAGCCCUUGCCUCAGAACAUUCAAAGGGAACCUCUUCAAUAGCAAUGACUACCCUUAUGGAGGAGAAAGAUUACCAGGUGCCUGUGCUUGGAACCCCAUCUUUGCUUGGACAGUCAUUAUUGCAUGGAGAGUUGAUCCCUACAACUGGUCCAAUAAGAAUAAAGGCUGCUCAUCCACGUGGUGGUCGACCAGCUCGGGAGCUUUCCAACAAGCUUGGAUAUCUGGUUUCUCCGCCACAGCAAAUUAGGAGGGGAGAGAGGAGUGGCUACAGAAGUAUAAACCGUGGACGACACCACAGCGAAAGAUCACAGAGAACUCCAGGCCCAUCACUACCAGCAACUCCAGUUUUUGUGCCUGUUCCACCCCCUCCUCUGUACCCACCUCCUCCACAUACACUGCCUCUCCCUCCAGGUGUUCCUCCACCACAGUUUUUUCCUCAGUUUCCUCCUGGCCUGCCAACACCUGCUGGGUAUAGCGUCCCUCCCCCCGAGUUCCCUCCAGCGCCAGCCAAUUUAUCAACACCUUGGGUAUCAUCAGGAGUGCAGACUGCUCAUCCAAAUACCAUCCCAACAACACAAGCACCACCACUGUCCAGGGAAGAAUUCUAUAGAGUGCAGCGAUGGCUAAAAGAAGAGUCUAAAUCUCCCUAUAGUGGUUCCUCAUACUCCAGAAGUUCUUAUACUUACUCUAAAUCAAGAUCUGGUUCAACGCGGUCACGUUCUUAUUCUCGAUCAUUUAGCCGCUCACACUCUCGUUCCUAUUCGCGAUCACCUCCAUACCCCAGAAGAGGCAGAGGCAAGAGUCGAAAUUACCGCUCAAGGUCUAGAUCUCAUGGAUAUCAUCGAUCUAGGUCAAGGUCACCUCUAUAUAGACGAUAUCAUUCACGAUCAAGGUCCCCUCAAGCAUUUAGGGGACAGUCUCCAAAUAAACGUACUGUACCACAAGGGGAAGCAGAACGUGAAUAUUUUAAUAGAUACAGAGAAGUUCCACCACCAUAUGACAUAAAAGCUUAUUAUGGGAGGAGUGUUGACUUUAGAGACCCAUUUGAAAAAGAACGUUACCGAGAAUGGGAGAGAAAAUACAGAGAGUGGUAUGAAAAAUACUACAAAGGUUACGCUGCUGGAGCACAGCCUCGACCAUCAGCAAAUAGAGAGAACUUUUCUCCAGAGAGGUUUUUACCACUUCAUAUAAGGAAUUCUCCCUUUACAAGGGGCCGCAGAGAACAUUAUUCGGGUGGACAAAGUCAUAGAAGUCGAAACAUAAGUGGUAGCAACUAUCCAGGAAAGCUUUCAACAAGAGACAGUCACAAUCAGAAGGAUAGUACAAAGUCAAAAGAGAAGGAGAGCGACAGUGCUGCAGGAGAUGGUAAAGGAAGUAAACAUAAGAAACAUCGAAGGCGGAGAAAGGGGGAAGAGAGUGACGGCUUUCUAAACCCAGAGUUGUUAGAACCUUCUAGAAAAUCAAGAGAACCCACAAGUGGCGAGGAAAAUACAACAGACUCAUUAUUUGUUCUUCCGAGUAGAGAUGAACCAAUGGAUGCAGAAUCCAUCCCUUUAAAAUCAGUGUCUGAAAAAUACAGGAGAGAAAAAGAUAAGCCAAAAGUAAAAGGAGACAAGACCAAACGAAAAAAUGAUGGAUCUUCUGUGUCCAAAAAAGAAAACGUCAAACCUGCUAAGGGAUCCCAAGAAAAACUAGAGGGAGAGGGUGAAAAAUCUCCAUCUGAACCUCCACUUAAAAAAGCCCAAGAGGAGACUCCAAAGACUGACAGUACCAAAUCAUCAUGUUCCUCUCAAAAAGAUGAAAAGGCCAUUGGCACCCCCAGAAAAGCUCACUCUAAGUCAGCAAAAGAACACCGAGAGACAAAACCUAUCAGAGAGAAAAAAGUGAAGAAAGACUAUUCCAAAGACGUCAAAUCAGAAAAACGAACUAGUAAGGAAGACAAGGCCAAGAAGCCUACUGAGAACAGUAAGCCUCUUGACAGCAAAGGAGAAAAAAGAAAAAGAAAAACUGAAGAGAAAGAUGUAGAGAAAGACUUGGAAUCAUCUUCAAUGAAAGUCUCUAAACUCGAAGUAACUGAAAUAGUGAAGCCAUCGCCAAAACGCAAAAUUGAACCUGAUAUUGAAAAGAUGGAUAGGACCCCUGAAAAGGACAAAACUUCAUCAUCAACAGCCCCAGCCAAAAAAAUUAAGCUCAACAGAGAAACUGGUAAAAAAAUUGGAAGUACAGAAAAUAUAUCUAAUACAAAAGAAACCUCUGAAAAAUUGGAGUCAACAUCUAGCAAAGUUAAACAAGAAAAAGUCAAAGGAAAGGUCAGACAAAAAGUAACUGGAACUGAAGCAUCCAGCUCUACUCUUGUGGACUAUACCAGUAGGAGUUCAACUGGAGGCAGUCCUGUGAGAAAAUCUGAAGAAAAAACAGAUACAAAGCGAACUGUCAUCAAAACUAUGGAAGAAUAUAAUAAUGAUAAUACAGCUCCUGCUGAAGAUGUCAUUAUUAUGAUUCAGGUCCCUCAGUCCAAAUGGGAUAAAGAUGACUUUGAAUCUGAGGAAGAAGAUGUUAAAGCCACACAGCCUGUAUCAAGUGUAGGAAAACCUGCCAGUGUUAUAAAAAAUGUUAGCACUAAACCAGCAAAUACAGUCAAGUAUCCUGAAAAAGGAAGCGAGCCUGCAGAGAAACUUCCAAAACUCACCAAGGAAGUGAGCCAUGAAAUCAUACAACAUGAGGUCAAUGGUUCAAAAAACUGUACAUCUAGUGAAAAGGGGAAAACCAGAGAGAGAGAGAUCGAUCAUUCAGUGUUGGAGAAGGAAAAUCCUGGAAAGAGGAAGAGCAGCACUCAGCCAGAGAAAGAUAGGAAUUUGGACCGUCUCAAUGAACAAGGUAAUUUUAAAAGUUUGUCUCAAUCUUCCAGAGAGACUAGAACCUCAGAUAAGCAUGAUUCCACUAGAGGUUCCUCAAAUAGAGACUUUACUCCCAGUAGAGACCAAAAAACGGACUAUGGCAGCAGAGAAUAUUCAAGUUCCAAACGUAGAGAUGAACGGAAUGAACUAACAAGAAGAAAAGACUCUCCUUCUCAGAGCAAAGAUUCUGCAUCUGGACAGAAAACGAAGCCAAGGGAGGAGAGAGAUUUGCCUGAAAAAGGAACAGGAGAUUCUGAGAAAAGUAAUUCUAGUCCCUCAAGAGACAAAAAACCUCAUGAUCAUAAAGCCACUUCUGAUACUAAACGCUUAAGUGAAGAGACAAAAUCUGUAGAUAAAAAUCCUUGUAAGGAUCGUGAGAAGCAUAUGUUAGAAACAAGGAACAGUAAAGAGUCAAGUGGCAAUAAAUUACUUUAUAUACUUAAUCCACCAGACCCACAGACUGAAAAAGGGCAGGUUGCUGGGAAAAUUGAUAAGAGUGCUACCAAGCCUAAACCCCAGUUAAGUCACUCCUCUCGACUUUGCUCCGACUUAACUAGAGAAACUGAUGAAGCUGCUUUUGAACCAGAUUAUAAUGAAAGUGACAGUGAAAGCAAUGCAUCAGUAAUAAAAGAGGAAGAUACUUCCGGGAAAAUUUCUAAGGAAUUGAAAGAUAAAGUCAUAGAGAAAGUAAAAGAGAGCCCGGACACAGCAGCAGUCAGCCAGAUAGGUGUCACCAGGAGCCAGAGUCAGAGCAGUCCCAGUGUUAGUCCAAGUAGAAGUCACAGCCCUUCUGGAAGCCAAACUCGAAGCCACAGUCGCAGUGCCAGCUCCGCAGAAAGUCAGGACAGCAAGAAGAAGAAGAAGGAAAAGAAAAAGCACAAGAAACAUAAAAAACAUAAGAAGCAUAAGAAACAUGCAGGCCCUGAAGCAGAAUUGGAAAAAAGCCAGAAACACAAACACAAGAAAAAGAAAUCAAAGAAGAGCAAAGAUAAAGAUAAGGAAAAGGAGAAGGAGAAGGAGAAGGAGAAAGAUGACCAAAAAGUGAAA
RNA transcript from Myotis brandtii (Brandt's bat), 5029 nucleotides. It is a transcript of the gene named E3 ubiquitin-protein ligase RBBP6 pseudogene, with no coding region annotated. Lineage: Eukaryota; Metazoa; Chordata; Mammalia; Chiroptera; Vespertilionidae. The record is from RefSeq and is a predicted model, not a curated record. The transcript has a single exon.